RNAcentral lists this ribosomal RNA (460 nucleotides) under uncultured bacterium. RNAcentral describes it as "partial 16S ribosomal RNA". It matches the Rfam family "Bacterial small subunit ribosomal RNA", at positions 338 to 795 of the family's 1533-position model. The record is from RNAcentral.
CCUACGGGAGGCAGCAGUGAGGAAUAUUGGUCAAUGGGCGCGAGCCUGAACCAGCCAAGUAGCGUGAAGGAUCCCCGCCCUACGGGUUGUAAACUUCUUUUAUAAAGGAAUAAAGUGAGGCACGUGUGCCUUUUUGUAUGUACUUUAUGAAUAAGGAUCGGCUAACUCCGUGCCAGCAGCCGCGGUAAUACGGAGGAUCCGAGCGUUAUCCGGAUUUAUUGGGUUUAAAGGGAGCGUAGAUGGGUUGUUAAGUCAGUUGUGAAAGUUUGCGGCUCAACCGUAAAAUUGCAAUUGAUACUGGCAGCCUUGAGUACAGUUGAGGUAGGCGGAAUGCGUGGUGUAGCGGUGAAAUGCUUAGAUAUCACGAAGAACUCCGAUUGCGAAGGCAGCAUACUAAACUGCCACUGACAUUGAUGCUCGAAAGCGUGGGGAGCAAACAGGAUUAGAUACCCCGGUAGUC